RNAcentral lists this ribosomal RNA (351 nucleotides) under uncultured bacterium. RNAcentral's name for it is "partial 16S ribosomal RNA". It matches the Rfam family "Bacterial small subunit ribosomal RNA", at positions 338 to 686 of the family's 1533-position model. The record is from RNAcentral.
CCUACGGGAGGCAGCAGUGAGGAAUAUUCGUCAAUGGGCGCGAGCCUGAACCAGCCAAGUAGCGUGAGUGAUGACUGCCCUACGAGUUGUAAACUUCGUUUUUAAAGGAAUAAAGUGAGGCACGUGUCCCUUUGUGUAUUUACUUUAUGAAUAAGGAUCGGCUAACUCCGUGCCAGCAGCCGCGGUAAUACGGAGGAUACGAGGGUUAUCCGGAUUGAUUGGGUUUAAAGUGAGCGUAGAGGGGUUGUUAAGUCAGUUGUGAAAGUUUGCGGCUCAACCGUAAAAUUGCAAGUGAUACUGGCAGGCUUGAGUACAGUUGAGGUAGGCGGAAAUCGUGGUGUAGCCGUGAAA